ACACCCGGACACAUCUCGAACCCGAUCGUUAAGGCUGUCUGCGCCGAUGGUACUUGGGGGGCGACCCCCCGGGAGAGUAGGUCAUUGCCAAAA
Molecule: ribosomal RNA, 93 nt
Filed under: Anaerolineaceae bacterium
Lineage: Bacteria; Bacillati; Chloroflexota; Anaerolineae; Anaerolineales; Anaerolineaceae
Source: RNAcentral